GGCUGGGUGCCCUCGCUGAGCCCCGGCCGCUUCCAGGAGGAGGAGGAGGAGGAGGUGGUGCCGGUCAAGAAGGAGAAGACGAUUUUCACUGUCCGGCUGACAGAGCUGAAAGCCGCUGACAAGGUGAAGCUGAUCAAGGAGGUGAAGAACUUUGUGCCAGGAGUGAACCUCGUGCAGGCAAAGAAGCUGGUAGAGUCCCUUCCGCAGGAGAUCAAGGCUAAUGUGUCCAAAGAGGAAGCAGAGAAGAUCAAAGCAGCGCUGGAGGCAGCAGGAGGGACUGUGGUUCUGGAGUAGACGCCCCRUCUUGUUGCAGAGGGACUAGCGCAAUGGCAGCCUGCUGCUGCCUGCCUGGGGCACCGGCCCCUGACUGUACCAAGGUUCUGGACGUUUCCACRCGUGAGAAUGUCCUGUAGUUCUGUGGUGGGGAUGCUCCCCUGAAGUGGUCCAGUGCAAGAAUGAUGUACGGUUUGGAGGGGCUGCUGUCUAGUGCCAGCAUCACAAUGAACUCUACAUUCAUAAAUGUCAAGCCUGUGUCGUCUUUGCACCGCGCAACAGCCUUGUCUAAACCGCGGCCUGGUGUCUGUGUGUCGAAGCGCCCUUUCCUCGCCCCCCUCCUCCGGCCGCGCUGCUGCGUCAGCAUCUCGGCGAAGUCGCUCCGUAGGGGCCGGUUUGACCUUCCGGCGGAGCUCGCCGUAACCUCAGACUAGGCGGUGGUAAAUGAUUUACAGGGGCGGGCGCAGGCCUGGCGCCGAGAUCCGCAGGCGAGACGAGGCCUCGCGGGAGCGCGGACUCGCGGGGAGCCGCGUUUCGGGGCGCCGUGCCCGGCCCGCGGC
This 833-nucleotide long non-coding RNA is filed under the name Apteryx haastii (Great spotted kiwi). Its description in RNAcentral is "lncRNA (ENSAHAG00000003288.1)". Lineage: Eukaryota; Metazoa; Chordata; Aves; Apterygiformes; Apterygidae. The record is from RNAcentral.